UGGGGACAAUGCAGACUCCCCGUCAGACCUCUCCGUCCAAGCUCUGC
Regulatory RNA element from Bradyrhizobium sp. LTSP885, 47 nucleotides. It matches the Rfam family "chrB-b RNA". Lineage: Bacteria; Pseudomonadati; Pseudomonadota; Alphaproteobacteria; Hyphomicrobiales; Nitrobacteraceae. The record is from Rfam.